AAGCGGUGGAGUAUGUUGUUAAUUCGAAGAUACACGAAGACCUUACCAGGUCUUGACAUACCAUUGACAGGCACAGAGAUGUGCUCUCCUUCGGGCAAUGGAUACAGGGUGGUGCAUGGUUGUCGUCAGCUCGUGCCGUGAGGUGUUGGGUUAAGUCCCGCAACGAGCGCAACCCUUAUCCCCAGUUGCCAUCAGGUAAAGCUGGGAACUCUGGGGAGACUGCCGGUGAUAAACCGGAGGAAGGCGGGGAUGACGUCAAGUCCUCAUGGCCCUUACAUCCCGGGCUACACACGUGCUACAAUGGCAGGUACAGAGGGCUGCGAAGCCGCGAGGUGGAGCGAAUCCCAGAAAACCUGUCUCAGUCCGGAUUGAAGUCUGCAACUCGACUUCAUGAAGGCGGAAUCGCUAGUAACCGCGAAUCAGCAGGUCGCGGUGAAUACGUUCCCGGGCCUU
RNAcentral lists this ribosomal RNA (453 nucleotides) under uncultured Latescibacterota bacterium. RNAcentral describes it as "bacterial SSU rRNA". It matches the Rfam family "Bacterial small subunit ribosomal RNA", at positions 927 to 1382 of the family's 1533-position model. Lineage: Bacteria; Pseudomonadati; Candidatus Latescibacterota. The record is from RNAcentral.